Molecule: long non-coding RNA, 7079 nt
Organism: Acinonyx jubatus (cheetah)
Lineage: Eukaryota; Metazoa; Chordata; Mammalia; Carnivora; Felidae
Exons: 3
Source: RefSeq, a predicted model, not a curated record
CAUCUUGUGUAGGGUUGCAGUGGAGAAGUAAAAAUGUAGCUAUGAAUACAGAGAAAUCAGAGAUGUUUUCAGGUUCCUUCUUCCUAACAGUAAUGUGCUACCCGGAGAUGUUCCUGAGGUAGACCAGUCCAGGCAAAUGAAACUACCUCGAUUCCCAACACAUGCCAAGAAGCCUCUGUCCCUCACAAGUUGUAGACGUUUGGAGCGAGGAAACUAAAUCCACUGACCAGAAAGCUCUCUUUUUCAGAACGAAAAAUACAGACCUACCUCAGAGAGAAAGGGUGCAGGUUCUGGCCCCAGACCCUCUCACUAAAGCAAGCCGAAUGUUUUGGCUUCCCAGCGCAUAUAAAAGUUGUGUUUACACCAUACAAGUCUAUGAAAUGGGCGAUGGCAUUGUAAAACAAUUCGUUUAAAAAUACUUUAUUACUAAAAAAAUGCUAAUCAUCAUCUGAGCUUUCAGUGAGCUGUGAUAACUGAUCACAGAUCAUCAUAACGAAUAGAAUGAUAAUGAAAAAGUUUGAAAUCCAGCGAGAAUUACCAAAAUGACAAGAGACACGUGAAGUGUGUCUGAAGCAAAUGCUGUUGGAAGAAUGGCACCAACAGACUGGGUCGAUGCAGGGUGGCUGCAGACCUCCAGUCUGUAAAAAAACACGGUUUCAGCGAAGUGCAAUGAAACGAGGUAGGCCUGGGUCCCAAAAGGUACCUUAGCAGCAAGUGCCAGUGAAGUGUUUUGUCUUUAGUAACCUGGUAGUGAAGACGCGCCCGCUCUGCUCCCUUGGGAGAGCUGGCUUCUGGCAUUGCUGGACUGCAGAGGGGGACUUCCUAACGAACUAUUUCUUUUUACUGUCUUAAAAAUCAAAUAAUAGAGCCACUGGAGAAGGCAACUUGACAAAGCUCAGACACCGUAAAUGUGACAAAAUGAGUUCCGUUCAGCCACGCUCACCGCAGCUCAUGCUCUCUGCGAUGCUUUGUUCACGGUGCACUGAUGGGCUGGGAGGGCCAGCGAGCCAGGAGUGGAUGCGGGGCCUCCUGCGUGUUAGGGUGUCAGGGUGUAGACCCAAGCUAAUGAUGCAUUUGGCUCUGACUUGGUCGUGGCAAAGAAAGGUGUAUGGGGAGCCAGGCAGUUCCCCAAGAAAAGUGAAGGGUAUUCAUAAACCCUCAAAUACAGCCACACUACUGAAGAUUUUCUGACAAGUGCCAGAGGGUGUUUACCUGCCUUGAGAAAGACAGGAAUCCUCCUGUGGCUAAAUCUUGGCACCAGAGGAUUUUUCUAGUAGCAUUGGAGCUGCAAAAUUUUAUCUGAAAUUUCCUAUGGGACCUUAAGAAUGUAUACUGCACUAAUUGGAAUGGUUCUUCCAGGAGUCUUGAAAGAAGGUAAGGUUUUCAGCAGGAUACAGAGAAGAGCUACAGAGACCUCCUGCAUUUAGGGUGUCAUCUGUUCUUGCAUCAGCGCACAGGGCAAGAGAGCCUCACUUCUCGGAAUGGGCAUUUCCUAACAAGUUAUAUUUGGAUAAAACGGUGUUUGGUCGAUUUGUUCCCAAAAUGUAUUUUAAUAGGUUUAGAUGGCUUUUGUUGCCUUUCUUACCGCUAUAUCCUAUACUGUCGGGAUUCGGUUAUGCUGUCCAGAAUAUAUGCUGGAAGGAAGAAAGGGAGGGAGAGGGGGGAAGAAGGAAGCAGAGAAAAAAAUAAUCUGGGGGUAGGGGAAAGGAAGCUCAAAAAUGUUUUAUUCUAAAAAUGAUAUUGUGGGGUACAGAUUUAACAAGAAAGUGCCAAUAAUAUAUGUUUAUUUAAUUCUCAAAAAUAGAUUACAACUGCAAGAGGAGAAAAUAGUGAAAAAUGUGUAUCUAUCUUUAAUAUCUUUGAAAUAUCAAAUAGACCUUCAUAAUUUAUAUAUACCUAUAUUUUCAGAAAUGUUUCAUAAUAAACUCCUAAAUCAUGCCUCAUUCUUUUUGAACAUGCAAAAUAUUCAGAAUCCCAUGGGGGGCAGGGGGGACUAUGCCUUUAUUUUUAAGAUUCUGAGGACUGAGAAUAAAAAAGUGUUUUCCCAGCUUGGCUGGGACUAUUCUAAGGGGAAUGUGAUCAGGGAGAAAAACUGCUCCCCCAGCAGACAGAACUCUGUGCUCCUUUCCAGAAUCCUUACUACUCUUCUAAUGAUGUGCUGCAUAAUAUGACUCUCCUUUUCAUGCAUCUUCCCUGCCAGACUGUGAAAUCCUUGGGAACAGUAACGCCUAGCUGGUCCACCACCAUUCUCCCUGCACAGAAAGCAUUGAUGAGCUGAUGGUAGACGUUGGAUAGAUGCAUGGUGCCUAAGUGGGUGAUGACGUCUAGUGGGGCAAAUGGCUGACCUACAAAUGACACACUGAUCUAGGACCGUGACGAGCACACCAGGAUUUGCCGUGAGCUGCCGAGGGUGCUAGCCCUGCCCCCUUGCAAAUGUGUGGUCACCAGUCUUCAAUAUAGGACUUAAAGAUCCAGCGUAUAGCCUAAAGUGAACCCCAUUAGUGCUUCCCAAACUUCUCCCCAGAACUCACCCCAACACUAAUGGGAAUAAAGUUGUAUGCCCUGGGACUGGGGCCUUCAGGGGCUCAUUUUAACUUUGUACUUUUAUGAAAAUUUGACAUUCUCCCUAAGAUAUCCAUUUUUUAUCUUCACAUGCAAUUAUUUUCCCAGACCUUCAAGUUGUGCAUUGUUAACCAGACUCGGGCUUAUAGGAUUCCUGGUAUACCUGUGCAUGACCCAGGGAGCACCUGGGCCCUGCUUGAGACCUGCAGCAGGAAGAUAUUGUCCAUAAAAUGUUACUAUUAACAUAAAAACUAUGUAUUUGGGAGAGGUAACAUUAACCCCCACUAACAUGUAUUCUCUUAUCUGAUUCCCUUUUCUCUCCCAGUAAAUAACAGCCCCCUAAUUGAGAACGGGACAGAAGACAAGAGGGUUUGAUAGUGGUAAGAGGAAAACCAUCCAGAGCCACCGUGAAGUAAAAGUCUGGUCAAGUCAGCCUGCUGGUCCAAGAUGGCAGCAAAUGGGAGUAAACAGGAUGGAGACAUUGGACAAGGGGGAAGAAACCAGAACUAGGAUGAGAAGAGUCCUUUGCCAAGGCUGUUCAAGACUCCUCCCGAGGAAUGAGCCCUGGAAGACGCAGGGGAAGUGGAGCCUCCCGAGAUCACUCAGGAACCCAAACCACCCGUAAUGGAGCCGGAAGGUCUGUCAAUUCCCAGGGAACAGUGAGGAAAUGAAAACGUUCGCCAGCUGCUACAUUCGACAUAAAACUCCGGGCCAUACUCCUGUGCUCAGCCGAUCACUCUGUCCAUCAGUUGUGGAUACGCCAAGCACCACACUCUGUGCUGGGUUGUGAAAUGUAAGUGAGACGAUUCUUAUGGGGUGCUCACACCUAUGGGGGCAUAGUGCCGUUAUCUCUCUUUUACAGAGAAGGAACAGAUUUUAGGGAGAUUUGGCUUUGGGUGACUCGGGAGAUGGCGAUGGCAUUCACAGACAUAGCAGACCCAGGAGGAAAGAUGGAAGAUACGCAGGAGACAAUGGAUCCAGGGUAGACUCAUGGGACGUAAGGCACCUGCAGGCAUCCACCAGAGGCUGUCCCGGCCGACUGCCUGCCCUGGUAUGAUGGCGAAGUGUGGAUUUCAAGUCUGCUCCGAUUUUCCGUUCAAAUCAUAAUUCUACCACUUACUAGCUGCGUGACUCUGGGCAAGUUACUUCACAUCUCCAAGACUUUCAGCCGCAUUUUCCUCAUGAGUAAAAAUGGGCUCUUGUGAAAGCUAGAAAUACAGUAAUGUGCAUACGGCUCCGAACGGAGGGCUUGGUACAUGGUAGAUGACGGAUCUGUGUGGAGACAACUUCCCUUUCAUCUGCAGUCUAUCUUUCACAUGGUGGAGAGUAAUAUAAGAUCACAGCUUUUAUUGUGUUGUGCUCUCAAAAAAUGUGAUGGUUCCUACUGACCCUCACUAGUGGAAGAAGACACAUUUGCAAGCCCUGCCCAGCCUACACCCUUCUUUAAAUAAUCCCACACUACCCCCUAUAUUGAAGGUCACCUGUUUACCAUGUGACCCUCCCCUCCUCCAGCAAGAAUGGCUUGAUGAUGCCAGAGGCAGAUGCCUGACCAGAAGAAACCCAUCCACUGACUGGCCACUUGCCAAUGGAACAGUUGCCUUCGAGUUGGCUGUGGUGACGGACAGUUGACCUACAGGUUAGGUUGGCCCUCUCGGGGAGCCAGAGGCCACAGUCUGCAGAGGGAGCCAGUGGCUAAAGCUCCUGGGCCACUAGAGAGAGAAUGACUAGGAGUAGCUUCUUUCCUUGCUCCCGUACCUGGAAGCCCCCUUCCUGAGCGCCAUCUCUGUGAGGUCCCUCAAACUUGUGCCGUGCGCCAUCUUGUCUCUCAAGCUCAAUCAAGGGAGUCUGGGCCCCUGCAGUCCAGGUCCACUGUUUUGCCAGCCCCAUCUCUCCCUUUGCCCCUGUACAACCCCUACCUUUAACUCCUGGCUACCCUGAAUGGCCUAUGAUUCCCAAGCAUGCUCUGUCCUUCUCCAGCCUUUUCCCCUGGGCUGGAAUGUUCUUUUGCCUUCUCCCCUCAUCUUAGCAGCCUCUCCAUCCUUUGAGGCCCAACACAAACACCCCCCUCCUGAAGCCUUCUCUGGUGCCCCCGUCACACACGACAGCUCCGUCCUAGGAACUCCCUGCACUUGACCUCUAGUGUCUCUAUGGCAUUCAAGCACACUUCUCCCCGAGUUUCCCUCCUUGCCUCUGUGCUCACGGAGGGUAGAAACUUGGCACAUGUUAGGCACCAGGAUGGGACACUGAAUUUAAUCCAAGGGUUGGAAUCCUAAAACAAAUCUGAGUUUUUUCAAUCAAGAGUACCAUGCCAGUGUAAGACAUUGUUCCUUAAAAUGGAAAUGCACUUAGGGAAUGCUUCAGAUUAAAGGGAUGAAGAUCAAAGGGCACAUUCUUGGCCAGGAGUUCUGAGUCUUAGGGACCCAAAUAAAUUGUAGACAUUUUAUUUCCUGAAUUGAUUGGAACCAUAACACUGGAUUGGGUGCCGUAAUAUAAAACUUUCUGAAACUUCUAGCUUGGCAGGAAGUCUGUCGCCUCUUUACUAUAAGUGUUGGGACCGCUUGUGUCUAAAACUCGAGCGCCCACGCCAACCGUUGCAACUGGCUAGUAAAUCUGGAAGCCUGACGGAGAGGAAGCUUCCCCUGCUGACUGGGAAGCUUCAGAUCCUGCCCUUAGCUGGAGUCCCAGGCACACCCAGCUUUGGCAGAGGGUGUGUCUGCAUCGCAGGGGGACACAUGUCCGCCAAGGUUCAAGAUCCUGUGGACCCAUGUUGAGAAUAGAAAGCAGCUGCUCCUGCAGGCAGCUCAAAAUAAUAGCUGCAUUUUGCAAACGAGUGAGAAUUUCCCCAUGGCAAUCUUUCCUACAGCUGUGGGCCCGGCAGCUCCUCCUGGGCCCUCAGCCUGCCUCAGCCCCGGGCUUGCUCUCGGCUACCCUCUCAGCUCCAGGCUUCUCCCCGCCUGACCUGCCCACCCCAGGCCUCCCUCUGUACCUGGGGCCUGGGUUUUGGUUCUGGGUUAUGGGGUGAGCCCAGCCCUUGCCCCUGAGCCAAUGGAGGGAGGUUCCCAACACCUGAAGCAAAAUCUACUUUUCCACGCUGACCUGUGACCCUUGCUAAGCUUUCUGCACGAAGCCCAACAUGGUAACUUAAAACCACACUUCCCAAACCUGCCUGUGCGUGCCCCCUAAGAGAAUCCUUUAAAAUGCACAUUUCUGGGCCCCUCCCCAGACUUGCCAAAUCAGGCUUUCUCAGGCAGGAGGCCCAGGAAUGUGUCCCUGAGCGUGUCUGUCCUUUUCUCCUCUCACCUGCCCCACCCCCACCCCCAGCAGAUGAUUCAUGAAAUGCUUCUCUGGGCUCCUGUUAAGUCCCACUUGCCUCAGCUCUGGUCUGGGCAGCCCCGGCAACCUUGUCGUGGUCUGCCCCUGCUGGCAAGGAGGAACACCAAAGGCUGGUGACCAGAGUGCCCCGGGGUGCAGUUGUGGGCGCUUACUUCCGGGCAGGGCAGCGGGCAAUGCCAUCCGUGGGGCCAUGGGCUUUUAGAGCAGCCAACCAGACCAGGCCAGCUGGGCCUGGCCUGACUCGACCCCGCAGAAAGCACGUCCCUGCUGCAACAAUGCUGAGCGGCCUGUGGUCAGUGCCCUGGGAGCAGUCAUGAAGGUGGCCUGAGGUUUGGGAAGCAGGAACACUGGAGUCCCAGCACCCUGGGGUAAGCUGCCAGCUCACAUCUCUUCUCCCACUGGAUUUGGGACCACAAGGCAGAGCCUCAGCAUGGACCUCAAUUCCAGCACUUGAAGGCGUCACCGCCCUACUGGCUUUGACGAACUUGACCUCCAGCACAGAGUCCCAGAAGAUCACAAACCUAUAGGGCACAAAGGGCUGUCUUUCAGGGGGAAACCCUGCUUUUUUGGAUGAAACGGAUGAAAAACAAACAAAACACACUGAAAACUCCCUACCUUGUCCCUCGCAUGAGAAUAUCUCCAUGUAGAACGGCCUGGACUGGCCAUAUAUAAGGGAUGCCCUACCUCACUCUCCUGAUGCCCACUUUUGAUGAAUGUUAACUAUUUUAAGUGCCUCCCCUGACCCUCCAGAGAUUCAAAUAUGCCACCCCACCCGCCACAGAGGCUGCAAGCAGGAUGAGAUGGAGAAGCACAGCUGGGUUAGAGGGGGUUCCUGCUGUUAACAAGGACUUUCUCCAGAAGCUGUGUGACGCUAGAGUUUCCAAUCCCCAUUUGGGUUUCUUAAAACUGAAAACCCUUUGGGCAAAGUUGCCCUCUACCUCCCACUCACUGGGGAAAUCCUGUAGUUUGUCUUAGGCCCAGGCUAGUCAAGCUCUCACCCUGGCUGGCUACCUCCUUGUGAGCUCCCUGCUGAUUCAGGGAGCAGAGGGAACAGGGUCUGAAACUUUAGUUAAAUGAGGAUUGCAGGACUCUUCUGAUCCUGGGGUGAGAACCAGGGGUCUAUACCUACAAUUUUUCUUUUUGACGGCAUAAAUUCAUAUGUUGAAGCCCUAACCCCCAGGACC